Oryza sativa Japonica Group (Japanese rice) is the source of this 1055-nucleotide long non-coding RNA. RefSeq lists it as uncharacterized. The record is from RefSeq and is a predicted model, not a curated record. Lineage: Eukaryota; Viridiplantae; Streptophyta; Magnoliopsida; Poales; Poaceae.
GUUCAGAAGGAAGUCAGAAACACACCUCCCCUUCCACUUCCACUUCCACUUCCACCGACGAGAGCGACGCGGCGGCGCGGCGCCGGCUGCCCACACCACACACUCCUCCCUGCUCCUCUUCCUCCUCCCCGCAUCCGCCAUGGCCCAUGGCCAAUCCCUUGCCCAGUUGCCCCCGUGCCUCGCCGUCCCGCUCGCCCGCGUCCGGGAAGCCAUCGUCGGAGGGGGGGUAACUCAAUGCGACAUAGGUAGAUCUGCAGGCGCCGUGCUGGGACUACGAGGAGACGGCCGCGGCGGCGGCCACCUUUGCCCCGCCUCGACGGGGAACCUGCUCUACGUCUUCUCCAGAUUGGCUCAUCCUGCUGCAACAGUUGCAUUCACCAUGAAGCCACAAUACCUCCUACGCCGUGAAUCCUCCUACUAUGCCUAGCCUAUAGCAGAAUGCAGGAUUAGCUUUUCUUGAUGGAAGUAUUUUAAACUCUGAAAGCUUGAAUACUUGCGUGGUAAUCACAGAACUACUUGGCUACUACACUGGCUGUUCUCCCUCAAGACAUAAAAGGUUAGGGUUCGUGCAUUGUAAUCCUAUGUUUUUAGUUACAGAAACUUUCCUUUUUAAUUGCCAUAAUUUUACUUACAAGAAGCUGGUGCACAUAGGAUUUUGUAUGAACUGUGCAGAAAACUGAAAGGCACUCUUCGAAAAGUGAAACUGUCCUCGAAAAACAAGUCUGAUGGAAAUAACCUAUCCUAUAAAUCUGAUUACCUGGAAUAGUUAGCAUCAAACGCUAUGCCUUAUUACUCAAGAGAGGUUAAAGCAAAUAAUAGGGUAAUGCACUAAUGUACUAGUCUUUCAGAGAGUAAUUAACCUAGAGAAAAGAUGACAGGUUGAGUUGUUCAAGAACUGUAAAGUAGAGAAUAUUAAUGUAGUUCCUCAUGAGUUAUCUUUUUGAAAGGGAAGCAAUCUGGUUGCUCUCUCACUGCUCUGAGAAUAAAGUUUCAAUUAGCUUGUUUGUUCAUUAGGAAAAGAAAAGGAAUGAAAAGAGUAGGCUCCAACCAAAUUA